Molecule: long non-coding RNA, 313 nt
Filed under: Nicotiana benthamiana
Lineage: Eukaryota; Viridiplantae; Streptophyta; Magnoliopsida; Solanales; Solanaceae
Description: long non-coding RNA (NBEN_LNC009022)
Source: RNAcentral
AGUUACAGGACUAUUCUUUAAAAUACAAUUUCAGGGGACUGAGUAAAACGUUUUGGCCGAAUGAUUAAAAGAACUGUUUAGGAGAAAAAUGCAGAUUUGAAAUGAUUUGAUAGCAUACUGAUUUGCAAGAGUUGUAUUGAAAACAUCGCGUUAGAACAUCACGGGCCAAUUAACGGAUUGUUUUAAAUGAAUCAGACAAGUUGAGACGGAAUCCUAUAGGCAUGAUAUUGAAUUUUUAGAGCCUGUUAGAGAGUUGGUAAAUAGACGAAUGUUCAGUUACCCUAUGAUUUGCCGAACGCAUGUACAUUUCCUA